UCUCUGAGAUCUGUUUACCAUACAUCUCGCUUCUCUUUCUGAAUGAUUGUGUGGAUCUUAAAAACAGGGAUUCUUGUUACUCUCUGAAUUCUCUCUACUGAGUUAAUUUGUGCUAUCUUGAAAAAAAAAAACCAGCACUAGCAAUAAAUGAGUUGCAGAGUUAGAGAACAUCUUGAGAUGUGAGGAGAGAAAAGAUGGAUCAUAUCAUAUGCGUGGGUUCUUCAUCAUCGAUUUCUUCUUUCUUGAAAAAUGCUGGCCGUUCUCCAGGAACAAUCCCGUGGGUUCUCCAUUGCUCUACCAAGUCUCUUCACAUCUCCCUCACAAGCACCAGAUAGAGCAGUCCACCUCACGUGGUAAUGGAACAGCAUUUAACCUUGAACCAUGUGUGGAAUUCUCCAGAGAAAUCUAGUCCAUCUCUUCAUUUACAAGGAAGAGAUGUUCAACGUAUUAUUACCUACAGAGCACCAGAUGGUAAUAUUUUCAUGUUUGGCUUCCCAGCAACUCCACUAAUCAAUUAAGGUUCAGGACAAAGGAGUCAUCAAAUUUGAAUCACUCCAAUUCCAAGGAACAAUCAACAAUGGAAUCAUGCCAAAGAAGCAUGGAGAGACAGCAAAGUUCAGGGCCAGAGCAAGCUGGAUUAGUGCACAAGAAGCCCUUCUAUAGCUUCUUUGCACCAGAGGAAGAGAUGGGUAGGGGUGGAUACCAGUAUUAGAUUGAACACUAAGAGAGUUGAAGCAAGAGGGGAUGGCAUUGAUCUCAACUUGAGCCUUUUAACCGGGUAACAAGAAAUAUGAAGCAGAUAUUUUGCCAGAGCUGAGCUGCCCCUCUCCAUUACCACAUUCU
Long non-coding RNA from Tripterygium wilfordii, 843 nucleotides. RefSeq lists it as uncharacterized. The record is from RefSeq and is a predicted model, not a curated record. Lineage: Eukaryota; Viridiplantae; Streptophyta; Magnoliopsida; Celastrales; Celastraceae. The transcript has 3 exons.